CCGAUAUAUAUAGUGGAGCAGGUAUGGCGCCGUCAUUAAUGGCGCGGACAAUUGAGGAAUUGUCAACUCACUGUAGACUGUCAGAGUCGCCGUGAAAGUGUCACGUCGCCGUGGGGCUGUCAAAUCACUAGGGUUGACAAUGCCCUAGGCGAGAUAAUGCCCCUAGGUGGUAGUGCCGCAUGUUGUUGGCAGAACUGACAAGCUCUGG
Molecule: long non-coding RNA, 208 nt
Filed under: Elaeis guineensis (African oil palm)
Lineage: Eukaryota; Viridiplantae; Streptophyta; Magnoliopsida; Arecales; Arecaceae
Description: long non-coding RNA (EGUI_LNC022394)
Source: RNAcentral